UCUAACUAGUAUCCUCUGACUGCAGAUCAGCUUAAUAAUCAGACCUACAUCAUAAUUGGUGCAGUGGUCGCGGUGGUGGUAGUGCUGGUUGUCAUCGCUGCUGUUCUCAUCAAAUACAGGAAGAGAGUCAAAGUGACAGCAGAUGUUCAAAAACCAACCCAACACCCUCAUUUUUCCACUGCUGACAAACUGAUAGUACAUGAUGAGGAAGAGCCAGAGAGCAAUCUGACCUAUGCCACUGUUAGCCAUGCUGAUCAACAGACCUCUCCUAAGAAAAAGGUCAAAGAGGAGGAGGAGGUGACUUAUUCUACAGUCAAGACUUCAUUUAAGACAGAAGCAGACAAUGAUCCCAGCAGCCUCUACAGCUACGUCAGCCAACCAAAAUAAAUCAGAGCAUAUGAGACUUCCCAUAAUGUCAUAUUCAUAAAACCUGCUGCAAGAGUGUUUUCUGUCUGAGGAAGGGGACAGUUGGAUUUGUGCCUCAGUGUUCUUAUCAAAUGUUGAGAAGUUGUUUCUAGUUUGUUGUUGCUUUGCUCGGCAUUAAGACUGUUGUUCUGUUAAACUGCUACUAAAACUAUUUCAGUCAGCCAACUCACGUAAUGUUUAUGUAAGCAGUAUAUGCAAUA
Morone saxatilis (striped sea-bass) is the source of this 626-nucleotide long non-coding RNA. RefSeq lists it as uncharacterized. The record is from RefSeq and is a predicted model, not a curated record. The transcript is spliced from 5 exons. NCBI's taxonomy places the organism in Eukaryota, Metazoa, Chordata, Actinopteri, Moronidae.